CCUACGGGAGACAGCAGUGAGGAAUAUUGGUCAAUGGACGGAAGCCUGAACCAGCCAUGCCGCGUGAAGGAUGACGGCUCUAUGAGUUGUAAACUGCUUUUGUACGAGAAUAAUAGUUCGUACGUGUAGGGGUUUGAAUGUAUCGUACGAAAAAGGAUCGGCAAACUCCGUGCCAGCAGCCGCGGUAAUACGGAGGAUUCGAGCGUUAUCCGGUUUUGUUGGGUUUAAAGGGUGCGUAGGCGGUGGAUUAAGUUAGGGGUAAAAUUUCGGGGCUUACCCCCGGCGCGCCGUCGAAAACGGUCGACUUGAGAACGGGAGAAGUAGGCGGAAUGCGUAGUGUAGCGGUGAAAUGCUUAGAUAUUACUCAGAACACCGAUUGCGAAGGCAGCGUGC
Molecule: ribosomal RNA, 393 nt
Filed under: uncultured bacterium
Lineage: Bacteria
Description: partial 16S ribosomal RNA
Rfam family: Bacterial small subunit ribosomal RNA
Source: RNAcentral